This is a long non-coding RNA of Aquila chrysaetos chrysaetos, 3783 nucleotides long. RefSeq lists it as uncharacterized. NCBI's taxonomy places the organism in Eukaryota, Metazoa, Chordata, Aves, Accipitriformes, Accipitridae. The transcript has 3 exons. The record is from RefSeq and is a predicted model, not a curated record.
UGAGGGGAAAGGUUUGGUGAAGGGGGCAGAGACCUCCGCUGAAUGAGCUGGUCUCUGUUUGCAUGCCAUUUGCCUUAUUAAUACAGUUCUACACGUUUCUUUUUCAGAGGGUUGGUUGUAAGCCUGCCGGAGAACGCUCUUUUCUGCCUGUAAGUGACUUUGCCCAUCCAGGGACCGCGCGGGAGAAACGAACGCAACGGCAGAAUGAGCGGGAACGACACCUGAGGCUGGGGGGACAUCCUCCCCCCGCCCCGAGUACAGAGGUGAGGGGGCCGUCAUGGCCGCAACUCGUUGACGACUCCUCAGCUCUCACCGCUCGCUCCAGGUCGAGCUACCAGAAACGAUGGCUCGCCUCCGGGGGGAACGUGACAGCCUGGAGAACCUGUAGGAACCCAGUGCUCUUUAAUUCCAGUAUCAAAUUCAGAAAUGGUCCAGAAAAAACUCCAAGGUAAUACAGGAGAACACUUCAAUGAGAUGAAAAAGUCUCCCUCGGCAAUAGGUGAAGAUUCUGAUGUAGCCAUGGUCUGAAUUACUGGUCCAGACAUACAUGUUACUGAGAGAGAUCUGACCUGAUCGGGAUCCCCCCAGAAAGUAAAAUGAUGCCACAUUUCUCUUAAAUCCAGAGCACCGUAUUGUCAAUGUGGCAUAUCUCGACACGUUUCAGCAGAGUACUUUCUGGACUGAAAAUAUACUCUCCUAUAUUUGAAUUUAAGAUAUUGUAUCUGUUUUGAGAUGUACAUAAAUUCUGUGCACUCUAACAAUUGGCUUCCCAACCUUUUAAGACCUUCAAGAACCAAUAUACAGAGCUAACCCUCUCAACCGAGUACUUUAUCAGGCAAAAGGUCGUUUUCACCUUGUAUACUUUCUGUUUCUAUGUUUAUCUCAUUACUGGAAGCCAGCAGCAUUUUCCGUCUUGGUAAUUUCUAAAACCAUUUUAUUUUAGCUAUGAAUAUUUUAAAAAAUUGCUUUGCUGUAAUUCUUAGGAUACCUACACCUUACAAUUGGAAAGGUACUUCAAACAUCUGUAGCCUUAGCCUAAUUAGCAUUAAUUUGUCUAAUCUGCGUAUCAACAACUAGAUACCUGCAUGAUAAGCCAGUGCCAGAUUUUUCGCGCAUGUUGAAUAGCUUUCCUGUGCUGAGGCUUGUUCUGCUGCAUCUCUCUGUUGGAACUGGGUAGGGCUUUAUGGCUACCUCAAAUGCGUCUGUGUGCAAACCGGUAGGAAUUGUGGGACCAGUUGUGGUGCUGUCCCUAGCAAGCUGCUAGCUAGUAAGCGAGGCUGUUGCCUCUUUCUUCAGGCUAAGGAUGGAUUGCCACAACAAAGCCUCUUUCCAAGAGAUUUUGUUCUUAAACAGGCAAACGUUUUCAUUCAGGCAAGCCUUAGCUACUUAAUUUUUUCUCCAUUAGAUCUUAGGCGGCAUUUUACAGCUGACUUUCCCAAAUAAUGAAUAAGAAAGAUUAAUUUGUUUUCCAAUUACUUCACUUUUUUUAAAACCAGAAAACUAGAAUUAUAUUAAAAGGCAAAACACGAAUACAAAAGCAAGGUUUGGUGGCUGCCAUUACACACAUCAGAAACAGUGUGCAGUUACACUGAUAAAAAAAGUUGUAUAUAAAGCAAUACAGAUGUGAAAUUAAAGCCAAUAAAGAUAUACAUUAAUGCUAAAUACAAUGUCUGCAAUUAAUUUUAAGCAAGUUGAACAUGUGGUGCAUAUUAGAGUUCAUAAAAUCUCGCCAUAGGCAAAUAAUUAAUGUUGCAUACAUCAAGUCUGGAAGGAUAGCCAACUGAAAGCGAUUAAAUGUGGAGUAUAUAAUUAAUUACAAGUUGCUAUGAAGGUAAUAAACUAGUAAACAAGAUUCUGGCACUGUCAGUGAGCAUAAGUUAAGAAACUAUUUUAUUGUUUUGGAAAAGAAUUUGAAAUAGAUCUCAUGUUCACUGAAAGAGGCAGUUCUGAUGUUCAUAAAACAUACCGUAAAAGAAAAUUGGGCUCUGCUUUACAUUGCGUAACUUUUCUCAACACAGCAAAUGAUCUGAAACUAAAGUAAUCUGUCAGUCUAAAUUUUAAACCCCUGAAAUAAGUUAUGGGAUUAGAGACAUGUCUGCUUCUCCUCAAAUGAGAAUGCUGAGUGAAGUAAAAUAUACUCCUUGGUAACAGAGCCUAUGAAAUGGAUAAUUUAAAAACAGGUUGUAGACUGAUGGAAGCAUCAAGGCCAUUCUCUUUGACAUAGAAAAACUGCAUCAGUAAAGCCUAAUUACCAUGUCCUUCUGUGUUAAAGAAGGUGCUGCUAAAAAAAAGUGCCUAAAAAAAUGUCACCAAGAUACAUUUAUGCUAUUUGGUCAGAUGCUUUUUACUCUCUGUACUGCUUUGUGUGCUCUAUAGUCUUUGUACUGUAUACUUUCUGUAAUGGAGUUAUGUAUUAAUGUAACUGUAUCAAUCUGCUGCCUUCAGGACUACUAUGUGUAAGCCAGUGUUGCUAGCAAGUGUGUGGAGCACCUUCAUGUAAAAGGCUCUCUGAUGUGACAGAAGAGAAUUUCAAUUUGAUUUCUGGAAUAACAUUAAGGGAUCGAUAAAAGAAAAAAGUGUUAUUCAGUUCGAGAAAUUGGAAAUGAGGGAAACUAUACUGGAAGAUUCUGGAGCUUGGGGAGUAGAAAGUUGAUCCCUUCAAAAUAUGGAAAAAGAAUAUUUCAAAUGGAAUUGUGUUCAGUCCAGUGGAAUCAUUCAACCAUCCUGCUGAUCUACAUCUGAAUCUAAAAUCAAGUGUCUAAAUCUACAGGCUGCCACACCGGUAACCACAGUAGAGACGGGCCGUGCUUGUGCCAGUCAAAAUCCUAUCUUCUUUCUGGCCUUGGCUCACCAUUCAAGAGGACAAAUAACAGCAUUUAGCAAGUGAUGACACAUCUAUGUCUUUGAAUACAGAUAAAAUGGAUAUUCAUUUUGCUUUUCAACUCAGGCUUCAGUAUCAGCAGUGCAUCUGCCAGCAUGUCAUAAGUAUGGGUUGGAGAUAGAAAAGGAUGUGUUGAAGAACAUUGAGAAUGCCAUAUGGAAAUUCUUCUGUGGAUUAUCCCACUGAAUCACCUAGUCGUGUAUAGGAUUAGUUACUUCUCCAUAUGGUGUUUAAGGACCAGAUUGCUGCUGGAAUAUUUUCCAAAGGCUAUUUUUAUGUUUUGCUGUACUAUGGAAUUGUGUGAAAAAUUACAUCAUAACCUGCACCUACAGUGAGAUAUUUUAAAGCACCCAAAGAGCUUUAUACAUUUUCCUCCACGUUUUAGCAAUUAUAAUACUCUCUCAAUUAGUAAUCUUUGAAGAACUGUGAUUCAUUCACUGCUAUAUGUACAUUUCCGUAUGAACACAGUCUGCAAGCUUUGCAAAAAGGGGUGUGGGCGGUAUGAAAUCGUUUAUGCUGCUAAUUGACAAUUAUGCAGUUGCUUCUAGUUUCAAACAGAAAAAAAAAAUCAAUGUAGACUGGCAGAUAAAAUAAAAAAGAAAGGGGAAGGAAUAACAUUCCAUUUUUUGCAACCAGAUUGUGUCAUGCUAUUUAAAUCAGUUUCAGUUAAACUAGCUAAAGCUAAUCAGUUUUAGCUAAAAUAAAAUUAUUUAUUCUUGCUCUUCCAUACACUAGCUAGCAAGUUCUGUCAAGAUGACUUUAUGUGAACUAGAGAUCAAUGCCUAUUCCUAUUGGUUCCUACACUUGAGUGACACGAGUGAAUUAGGGUAGAACUUUGCUAGUAUGCAUUAAUCCUGAAUACUUCUCAAAAUACCUUAAUAAAAAUGUCAAGAGGUACUUUA